CUACAUAUCCUCAGCGACUUUGGUAAGGCGAUGGGACUCUGCAUCCACCCAGCCAAAUCCACGGUCUCGCUGAUCCGUUGCGAGAGCAUCAACGUCAGCGACGUACUCCAAGGUUUUGCUGGCUCCAUCGCCCCAUUCCCCAUCAAAUAUCUUGGGUUGCCGGUCUCUACGGGCCGCCUGAGAUUGGCCCAUUUCCAGUUCAUCAUCGGCAGAAUCAAGGGAAGGCUCGCGGGAUGGAAGGGCAAGCUUCUGCUGAUGGCCGGGCGUCGCGUCCUGGUUCGAUGCGUGCGGAGUGCCAUGCCAACCUUCGCCAUCACCAUCCUGCAUGUCCCAAAGAAGAUCAUCAACGAGAUAGACAAGUGCAGGCGGCGUUUUCUCUGGCGCCAGGAUGAGGAGAUUUCGGGAGCCAGCUGCAAGGUCAACUGGCCUACGAUCUGCACCCCGACGGAGCAGGGGGGACUGGGCAUCCCUGACCUGCAAUGUUUCGGCAGGGCGCUGCGGUUGCGCUGGCUUUGGACCGCCUGGAACCACCCGGAGCGGCCGUGGGUGGGCACCGACUUGCCUUGCGACGACGCGGACAAGGCGCUGUUCGCAGCCUGCACCAGUGUGGCGAUCGGGGACGGGGCUCGGGCCUCCUUCUGGCUCUCCCCCUGGAUCGGCCACGGCUGCCUCUCGCAGCAAUUCCCAAGGUUGUUCAGCUACUCACGACGCAAGAAUAGAUCGGUCAGGGAGGCCCUCGGCGAUGACAUGUGGAUCCGCGACCUCGGGACAACCUGCACCUUCUGCCGGACGUCCUCGCCCUCCACCGCCUGCUUCAAGGAGCAGGCGCGCACCUGCAGCCAGAUGUGUCUGAUGGUCUGA
RNAcentral lists this ribosomal RNA (861 nucleotides) under Triticum aestivum (bread wheat). RNAcentral describes it as "partial small subunit ribosomal RNA". The record is from RNAcentral. Lineage: Eukaryota; Viridiplantae; Streptophyta; Magnoliopsida; Poales; Poaceae.